UGUGAACUCAAUAAAUUUUUU
Molecule: non-coding RNA, 21 nt
Filed under: Caenorhabditis elegans
Lineage: Eukaryota; Metazoa; Nematoda; Chromadorea; Rhabditida; Rhabditidae
Source: RNAcentral